This 430-nucleotide ribosomal RNA is filed under the name uncultured Alphaproteobacteria bacterium. RNAcentral describes it as "bacterial SSU rRNA". It matches the Rfam family "Bacterial small subunit ribosomal RNA", at positions 29 to 504 of the family's 1533-position model. Lineage: Bacteria; Pseudomonadati; Pseudomonadota; Alphaproteobacteria. The record is from RNAcentral.
AACGAACGCUGGCGGCAUGCCUAACACAUGCAAGUCGAACGAUCCCUUCGGGGAUAGUGGCGCACGGGUGCGUAACGCGUGGGAAUCUGCCCUUGGGUUCGGAAUAACAGUGAGAAAUUACUGCUAAUACCGGAUGAUGUCUUCGGACCAAAGAUUUAUCGCCCAAGGAUGAGCCCGCGUAGGAUUAGCUAGUUGGUGGGGUAAUGGCCUACCAAGGCGACGAUCCUUAGCUGGUCUGAGAGGAUGAUCAGCCACACUGGGACUGAGACACGGCCCAGACUCCUACGGGAGGCAGCAGUGGGGAAUAUUGGACAAUGGGCGAAAGCCUGAUCCAGCAAUGCCGCGUGAGUGAUGAAGGCCUUAGGGUUGUAAAGCUCUUUUACCCGGGAUGAUAAUGACAGUACCGGGAGAAUAAGCUCCGGCUAACUCC